This 468-nucleotide ribosomal RNA is filed under the name uncultured bacterium. RNAcentral's name for it is "partial 16S ribosomal RNA". It matches the Rfam family "Bacterial small subunit ribosomal RNA", at positions 28 to 507 of the family's 1533-position model. The record is from RNAcentral.
GACGAACGCUGGCGGCGUGCUUAACACAUGCAAGUCGAACGGAAAGGCCCUGCUUUUGUGGGGUGCUCGAGUGGCGAACGGGUGAGUAACACGUGAGUAACCUGCCCUUGACUUUGGGAUAACUUCAGGAAACUGGGGCUAAUACCGGAUAGGAGCUCCUGCUGCAUGGUGGGGGUUGGAAAGUUUCGGCGGUUGGGGAUGGACUCGCGGCUUAUCAGCUUGUUGGUGGGGUAGUGGCUUACCAAGGCUUUGACGGGUAGCCGGCCUGAGAGGGUGACCGGACAAGUGGGGACGGGGCUGAGACACGGACGAAUCCGGGAGGCGAGGGCGGGGUGGGGAGCAGAGGGGAAGGGGGGAUGAUGCGGCGACGCCGUGUGGGGGAAAAGGGGAAGGGGGUAGGAAAGCGAAAUCGCUUGUGACGGAGCGUGAAUGACGGUAAUGGGAAAAGAAGCACCGGCUAACUACGUG